RNAcentral lists this ribosomal RNA (495 nucleotides) under uncultured bacterium. Its description in RNAcentral is "bacterial SSU rRNA". It matches the Rfam family "Bacterial small subunit ribosomal RNA", at positions 28 to 533 of the family's 1533-position model. The record is from RNAcentral.
GACGAACGCUGGCGGCGUGGAUUAGGCAUGCAAGUCGGACGGUAGGGCUUUAUCGUAAGAUAGAGUUUGAGAGUGGCGAACGGGUGAGUAACACGUAGGAAUCUACCCUUAAGACGGGGACAACCCAGGGAAACUUGGGCUAAUACCGGAUGAGAGUGCGAGAGAUUGCAUUUAAAAGGAUGGCGAAAGUUGUCGCUUAGGGAUGAGCCUGCGGUCUAUUAGUUAGUUGGUGAGGUAAGAGCUCACCAAGGCGAUGAUAGAUAGGCGGCCUUAACGGGUGGUCGCCCACACUGGGAUUGAGAUACGGCCCAGACUCCUACGGGAGGCAGCAGUCGAGAAUAGUCUACAAUGGCCGGAAGGCUGAUAGUGCGACGCCGCGUGAACGAGGGAGCCCUUCGGGUUGUAAACCUCUGUCAUGGGGGAAAAGUAAGUGACGGUACCCCAAGAGGAAGCCCCUGCUAACUACGUGCCAGCAGCCGCGGUAAAGGUAGUACA